GUAUUUGAGUCUAAUCUUUUGUUCCUUAACAGUGUUUCUGUAAACUGCAGUGCUUGUUUGAAGUAGACAACACUUGUGAAAGAAGAUGGAAAAGUUCUUAGAAGUAAAAGUUGAUCAAGUCCAGCAAUGAUCUGGUCUGUGCAUCUGUGUAUGCCUGGGCCUCUGUGCGUGCAAUGCCAGGCUGCAGCUUGUAAAUAAGAACCACAAUAACAAGGCAGAUAUAAAAUAAACAACUCACAAGAUCAAAGAGACAAGUUCAAUAUAUGUGAAACAGAAUAUCAGACAUAGCAGUAAAUUUGACCAGCCUGGAAACUUAAACCACUUCUGUGUCAAGACCAUGGUGGGAAUAACUUCAUGGAGUUUAGUGGUGAACCAUGGACAAGUUUGGCAUGGGAUGAAUUUUUUGUUCUUGGCAUGAUUGACUUGCUCCUCUUCCCCAGAGCGCCAAACAGCUUCAGAGAAAGGAGUUUGCUGGAGAAUGGACUGUCUCUCCCACACACAGGUUUUGAAGGAUUUGUGUUAAGAAGGAGGAAUGAUGUGGAAAGGUUCAUCAGCUGCCUUUUGAGCUGGAGCAGAGUCCUAGUGUGCAGUCAUCACUCCUCAUCACCCUGUGCUUUGCAGGGCCUAAGCAAACCCAGCUUUCAUAACUCUUCCUCCUGGAGAUUAAACUAAAAUUGAUCCAUACUCUGGAAGCAAAGUAUUUUAUACUGGCUAGCACAGUAUGGCUGGAUUUCCCUGACCUAGCAAGUCCUGUCAUGGGCCAGGGAAGGUAUUCUCAAACAAGCAUUCAGAAACUGGGAUAUGUACCAAAAACUCAUGAAAUUUUCAAGAUUGAUAACUUUCAUUUUGUUUGCUUUUGCCUUCUGCUUUCAUACUGUUUCAACGGCAAGGCUUCCAGAUAUUGAUAACUUCAAUGGAUGGAGAAAAUAAAUGUUCUCAAUGAAUUACA
This 949-nucleotide long non-coding RNA is filed under the name Cyanistes caeruleus (blue tit). RNAcentral's name for it is "lncRNA (ENSCCEG00000014213.1)". Lineage: Eukaryota; Metazoa; Chordata; Aves; Passeriformes; Paridae. The record is from RNAcentral.